Molecule: ribosomal RNA, 253 nt
Filed under: uncultured bacterium
Lineage: Bacteria
Description: partial 16S ribosomal RNA
Rfam family: Bacterial small subunit ribosomal RNA
Source: RNAcentral
UACGUAGGGUGCAAGCGUUAAUCGGAAUUACUGGGUGUAAAGCGUGCGCAGGCGGUUGUGUAAGACAGAUGUGAAAUCCCCGGGCUCAACCUGGGAACUGCAUUUGUGACUGCACAGCUGGAGUGCGGCAGAGGGGGGUGGAAUUCCGCGUGUAGCAGUGAAAUGCGUAGAUAUGCGGAGGAACACCGAUGGCGAAGGCAAUCCCCUGGGCCUGCACUGACGCUCAUGCACGAAAGCGUGGGGAGCAAACAGG